RNAcentral lists this non-coding RNA (31 nucleotides) under Homo sapiens (human). Lineage: Eukaryota; Metazoa; Chordata; Mammalia; Primates; Hominidae. The record is from RNAcentral.
UGAGAGUGCACGUGGAGAUGUUCUUUCCCCC